GUUAGAUAAAAUAUUAGCCUAUUUUGAGCCCUUUGUGUUUCGUGUGCAAACCCCAAAUUCAAAUCCCAAACGUCGAACACAAACUCACUGGGAACACUCGCUUGAUAACGAAGGACAGGGGAAAAAUUUUCCUGUCAUCGUCCACUGAACGAACAGCAGCUACAUCCGCUUCGCCUCACUGCACACGAACAUCAGCAUCGACCGAACAGUGAAGAUAGUGGAGUUGCAUGCCGGAGUGCUGUAAAGUGUUGUCCGUCGAAAACAGUGAAAACCGUUCGGUGCGAGUGAAGUUGCAGGGCAUCACUCGGAGUGCAUGAAGAGUGCGUGAAUCAGAAGCCACCCACAACUUGGGCCCGUCAAUUGUCCGCUGCAAGGGACCAGCAUCCGCGGAAUAGCAAACUUCUGCAUCUCGAGAGCACACCACGAAAACCCGGCGUGGUUCCGAACAGAAAGUAAACCCGCGACGAGCAAGGCCAAGUGGCUACGGGGGCGAUCAUCGUGCAUCUUUGGACAACCGGACACGUGCAGAACUAUCACGGGAGGAACACCCGGGGAAUCUAGGCCAAAACUGUUCCCGGCGAGUGUGAAUGCGCAGCUUGGAAACGAGCGUAACCUUGUGCGACGGGUACAAUUUGAGUGCGUGGACGUUCUAAAUUGCGAUCCAAGCGACAGCGUCCGGCAGACAUCAUCGGAGAGACGACGACAGCACUGCCCCAGCGGUGCAACGAUUGGCAUUCUAGUUGCACGAUAGACGGAGCAAAGCAGCAUCAUCCCAAAUUGUGCGGAAAGCGGCACUGGAACCUGAUCAACUACGCUUCUUCGCAAAACAAUCUUGAAGAUUGGC
This is a long non-coding RNA of Aedes albopictus (Asian tiger mosquito), 844 nucleotides long. RefSeq lists it as uncharacterized. The record is from RefSeq and is a predicted model, not a curated record. The transcript is spliced from 4 exons. NCBI's taxonomy places the organism in Eukaryota, Metazoa, Arthropoda, Insecta, Diptera, Culicidae.